GGCCUGAUGGUCUAGUAGUAUGAUUCCUUGUUAGGGUUUCGACUCAUAUCGAGGAGGUCCUGGGUUCAAUUCCCAGUUAGGCCC
This is a non-coding RNA of Lyophyllum atratum, 84 nucleotides long. The record is from the annotation of a GenBank genome assembly. Lineage: Eukaryota; Fungi; Basidiomycota; Agaricomycetes; Agaricales; Lyophyllaceae.